This 74-nucleotide transfer RNA is filed under the name Planctomycetota bacterium. Its description in RNAcentral is "tRNA-Arg". It matches the Rfam family "tRNA". Rfam says of the family: Transfer RNA (tRNA) molecules are approximately 80 nucleotides in length. Their secondary structure includes four short double-helical elements and three loops (D, anti-codon, and T loops). RNAcentral also lists the same sequence under 1 other name. The record is from RNAcentral. Lineage: Bacteria; Pseudomonadati; Planctomycetota.
GCCCCGGUAGCUCAGCUGGAUAGAGCAGCGGUCUUCUAAACCGCAGGUCGCGGGUUCGAAUCCUGCCCGGGGCG